Molecule: ribosomal RNA, 497 nt
Filed under: uncultured bacterium
Lineage: Bacteria
Description: partial 16S ribosomal RNA
Rfam family: Bacterial small subunit ribosomal RNA
Source: RNAcentral
GAUGAACGCUGGCGGCGUGCCUAAUACAUGCAAGUCGAGCGAACAGACGAGGAGCUUGCUCCUCUGACGUUAGCGGCGGACGGGUGAGUAACACGUGGAUAACCUACCUAUAAGACUGGGAUAACUUCGGGAAACCGGCGCUAAUACCGGAUAAUAUAUUGAACCGCAUGGUUCAAUAGUGAAAGACGGUUUUGCUGUCACUUAUAGAUGGAUCCGCGCCGCAUUAGCUAGUUGGUAAGGUAACGGCUUACCAAGGCAACGAUGCGUAGCCGACCUGAGAGGGUGAUCGGCCACACUGGAACUGAGACACGGUCCAGACUCCUACGGGAGUCAGCAGUAGGGAGUCUUCCGCAAUGGGCGAAAGCUUGACGGAGCAACGCCGCGUGAGUGAUGAAGGUCUUCUGAUCGUAAAACUCUGUUAUUAGGGAAGAACAAAUGUGUAAGUAACUAUGCACGUCUUGACGGUACCUAAUCAGAAAGCCACGGCUAACUACGUG